This 125-nucleotide ribosomal RNA is filed under the name Cupriavidus sp. L7L. Its description in RNAcentral is "partial 23S ribosomal RNA". It matches the Rfam family "Bacterial large subunit ribosomal RNA", at positions 1 to 117 of the family's 2925-position model. The record is from RNAcentral. Lineage: Bacteria; Pseudomonadati; Pseudomonadota; Betaproteobacteria; Burkholderiales; Burkholderiaceae.
GUUAUAGGGUCAAGCGAACAAGUGCAUGUGGUGGAUGCCUUGGCGAUCACAGGCGAUGAAGGACGCGGUAGCCUGCGAAAAGCUUCGGGGAGCUGGCAAACAAGCUUUGAUCCGGAGAUGUCCGA